This 407-nucleotide ribosomal RNA is filed under the name uncultured bacterium. RNAcentral describes it as "partial 16S ribosomal RNA". It matches the Rfam family "Bacterial small subunit ribosomal RNA", at positions 28 to 526 of the family's 1533-position model. The record is from RNAcentral.
GACGAACGCUGGCGGCGUGCCUAAUACAUGCAAGUAGGACGCAGUUGCGAACGGGUGAGUAACGCGUAGGUAACUGCCUAUUAGAGGGGGAUAACUAUUGGAAACGAUAGCUAAUACCGCAUACUAGUAGAUGGACCUGCGUUGUAUUAGCUAGUAGGUAGGGUAAUGGCCUACCUAGGCGACGAUACAUAGCCGAACUGGUACGGUGAGUGGCAAAAAGGGGAGUGAGAAACGGCCCAGAAUCAGACGGGAGGCAGCAGUAGGGAAGCGUAGGCAAUGGGGUGAAACCUGAACUGGCAAAGCGGCGUGAGGAAAGAAGGUUUUAGGAUCGUAAAGCUCUGGUGUUAAGGAAGCGGGAAUUAACAAGAAAGGGACGGCUAACUACGUGCCAGCAGCCGCGGUAAUAC